ACUUUGAUUAUGGCUCAGGAUGAACGCUAGCUACAGGCUUACCACAUGCAAGUCGAGGGGAAACGACAUCGAAAGCUUGCUUUUGAUGGGCGUCGACCGGCGCACGGGUGAGUAACGCGUAUCCAACCUGCCCACCACUGGGGGAUAACCUUGCGAAAGUAAGACUAAUACCCAAUGAUAUCUCUAGAAGACAUCUGAAAGAGACUAAAGAUUUAUCGGUGAUGGAUGGGGAUGCGUCUGAUUAGCUUGUUGGCGGGGUAACGGCCCACCAAGGCUACGAUCAGUAGGGGUUCUGAGAGGAAGGUCCCCCACAUUGGAACUGAGACACGGACCAAACUCCUACGGGAGGCAGCAGUGAGGGAUAUUGGUCAAUGGACGAGAGUCUGAACCAGCCAGGUAGCGUGCAGGAUGACGGCCCUAUGGGUUGUAAACUGCUUUUAUAAGGGAAUAAAGUUAGUCUCGUGAGACUUUUUGCAUGUACCUUAUGAAUAAGGACCGGCUAAUUCCGUGCCAGCAGCCGCGGUAAUACGGAAGGUCCGGGCGUUAUCCGGAUUUAUUGGGUUUAAAGGGAGCGUAGGCCGGAGAUUAAGCGUGUUGUGAAAUGUAGAUGCUCAACAUCUGCACUGCAGCGCGAACUGGUUUCCUUGAGUACGCACAAAGUGGGCGGAAUUCGUGGUGUAGCGGUGAAAUGCUUAGAUAUCACGAAGAACUCCGAUUGCGAAGGCAGCUCACUGGAGCGCAACUGACGCUGAAGCUCGAAAGUGCGGGUAUCGAACAGGAUUAGAUACCCUGGUAGUCCGCACGGUAAACGAUGGAUGCCCGCUGUUGGUCUGAAUAGGUCAGCGGCCAAGCGAAAGCAUUAAGCAUCCCACCUGGGGAGUACGCCGGCAACGGUGCAACUCAAAGGAAUUGACGGA
Molecule: ribosomal RNA, 917 nt
Filed under: uncultured Bacteroidota bacterium
Lineage: Bacteria; Pseudomonadati; Bacteroidota
Description: bacterial SSU rRNA
Rfam family: Bacterial small subunit ribosomal RNA
Source: RNAcentral